Molecule: ribosomal RNA, 852 nt
Filed under: uncultured Bacillus sp.
Lineage: Bacteria; Bacillati; Bacillota; Bacilli; Caryophanales; Bacillaceae
Description: bacterial SSU rRNA
Rfam family: Bacterial small subunit ribosomal RNA
Source: RNAcentral
CAAGUCGAGCGAAUCUGAGGGAGCUUGCUCCCAAAGAUUAGCGGCGGACGGGUGAGUAACACGUGGGCAACCUGCCUGUAAGACUGGGAUAACUUCGGGAAACCGGAGCUAAUACCGGAUAAUUCUUACCAACACAUGUUGGUAAGCUAAAAGACGGCGCAAGCUGUCACUUACAGAUGGGCCCGCGGCGCAUUAGCUAGUUGGUAAGGUAAUGGCUUACCAAGGCAACGAUGCGUAGCCGACCUGAGAGGGUGAUCGGCCACACUGGGACUGAGACACGGCCCAGACUCCUACGGGAGGCAGCAGUAGGGAAUCUUCCGCAAUGGACGAAAGUCUGACGGAGCAACGCCGCGUGAGUGAUGAAGGUUUUCGGAUCGUAAAACUCUGUUGUUAGGGAAGAACAAGUACGAGAGUAACUGCUCGUACCUUGACGGUACCUAACCAGAAAGCCACGGCUAACUACGUGCCAGCAGCCGCGGUAAUACGUAGGUGGCAAGCGUUGUCCGGAAUUAUUGGGCGUAAAGCGCGCGCAGGCGGUCCUUUAAGUCUGAUGUGAAAGCCCACGGCUCAACCGUGGAGGGUCAUUGGAAACUGGGGGACUUGAGUGCAGGAGAGAAGAGUGGAAUUCCACGUGUAGCGGUGAAAUGCGUAGAGAUGUGGAGGAACACCAGUGGCGAAGGCGACUCUUUGGCCUGUAACUGACGCUGAGGCGCGAAAGCGUGGGGAGCAAACAGGAUUAGAUACCCUGGUAGUCCACGCCGUAAACGAUGAGUGCUAAGUGUUAGAGGGUUUCCGCCCCUUUAGUGCUGAAGUAAACGCAUUAAGCACUCCGCCCUGGGGGAGUACGGCCGC